Molecule: long non-coding RNA, 1036 nt
Organism: Peromyscus eremicus (cactus mouse)
Lineage: Eukaryota; Metazoa; Chordata; Mammalia; Rodentia; Cricetidae
Exons: 3
Source: RefSeq, a predicted model, not a curated record
AUAGCUAGCUGUCUCACUGCUGUGGUCACACACUCUCAGUGGCUUCAGCUGAAAUACACACAACUAAGCCAAUAGCAUUUCAAUAUUGGUAGACCGGAAGUAGUGACUGCAAUCAUAUUCAGUUAGGUAAUUACUACAGUUAAAUGCUACAACAGGACUUCGUGAGAUAACGCUCAUAAUUAACUUUCCAAUUUAGUUUACCUCAUAUACUUAGUGAUUGCCCCAUGAAUCUGCUUUCUUCCACUGAAAUAAGUGAAGAGUUCAUUUUCAAGAGCUCCAACCACAAAUGUCCAUACUUCAUACUUCUGACAGUGAUCUGACCAUGUCAUAGACCGGAGAGAUGGCUUAGAGGGUAGGAGCACUUGCUGCCAGGCCUGAUCACCUGAGUUCCAGCUCCGGGACUAACGUAGUGGGAGAAGAACCAACUCUUCCAAAUUGUUCUUUGAAGGGUAUAACCAAAAAUUGUAUAACUUUGAAUGCUGAUGGCAGCAGCUUUGAUUAUGAGGAUAACUCCAUCAAUAUGUAAGUACUGUGGAUAGCAAGAGAGAGAUGGCAAAACUAGCUAACAAAACUGUCUACUGCACUAAACAACCCUGAGAGAAAUCAGAAUGGGAGCCAAUAGAUUCCUUUCCUACUUAGUAUCAGACAGCAGUUCUUUCACUUACAUCUGAAGGCAUGUUAAAUUAUAUAAAUGAUAUCAAGAAAAAGCACUGGUGAAGAAACAAAGCUGCGAUGGAAAGUUAUUUUAAAGUUUGGCGUCAUAAGACCUACGUGAUCAUGACAGCUUUUUAAAGACUUGUACUCUGGUCUAAUUAGACUAGAUCAAAAGACAGGAUGUUCAUAAUUCUCCAACUAAGAAAACUGCCCUGCUUACUUUGUAUAAAUGAAGUAAAAAAAAAAAAAUCUUGAAAGAGUUCUGAUGGGGUUUGUCCUUGCCUCAGGGUCACACUAUGUCUCCAAACUGAUCCUUGGUGUCUGUACUUAAUUCCUCCAGUUUUGGAUCUUUAUCUGCUGUUAAUAAAGACUUCAGUUCUGA